RNAcentral lists this ribosomal RNA (242 nucleotides) under uncultured bacterium. Its description in RNAcentral is "partial 16S ribosomal RNA". It matches the Rfam family "Bacterial small subunit ribosomal RNA", at positions 15 to 252 of the family's 1533-position model. The record is from RNAcentral.
GAUCAUGGCUCAGAUUGAACGCUGGCUGCAGGCUUAACACAUGCAAGUCGAACGGUAACAUAAAGAAGCUUGCUUCUUUGAUGACGAGUGGCGGACGGGUGAGUAAUGCUUGGGAAUCUAGCUUAUGGGAGGGGGAUAACUACGGGAAACUGUAGCUAAUACCGCGUAAUAUCGAAAGAUUAAAGUGUGGGACCUUAGGGCCACAUGCCAUAAGAUGAGCCCAAGUGGGAUUAGGUAGUUGG